CGUACACUCCUGCGGGAGGCAGCAGUGGGGAAUCUUGCGCAAUGGGCGAAAGCCUGACGCAGCCAUGCCGCGUGAAUGAUGAAGGUCUUAGGAUUGUAAAAUUCUUUCACCGGGGACGAUAAUGACGGUACCCGGAGAAGAAGCCCCGGCUAACUUCGUGCCAGCAGCCGCGGUAAUACGAAGGGGGCUAGCGUUGCUCGGAAUUACUGGGCGUAAAGGGAGCGUAGGCGGACAUUUAAGUCAGGGGUGAAAUCCCGGGGCUCAACCUCGGAAUUGCCUUUGAUACUGGGUGUCUUGAGUAUGAGAGAGGUGUGUGGAACUCCGAGUGUAGAGGUGAAAUUCGUAGAUAUUCGGAAGAACACCAGUGGCGAAGGCGACACACUGGCUCAUUACUGACGCUGAGGCUCGAAAGCGUGGGGAGCAAACAGGAUUAGAAACCCGGGUAGUCCCA
RNAcentral lists this ribosomal RNA (451 nucleotides) under uncultured organism. RNAcentral's name for it is "partial 16S ribosomal RNA". It matches the Rfam family "Bacterial small subunit ribosomal RNA", at positions 330 to 797 of the family's 1533-position model. The record is from RNAcentral.